This is a long non-coding RNA of Callorhinchus milii (elephant shark), 492 nucleotides long. RefSeq lists it as uncharacterized. The transcript has 2 exons. The record is from RefSeq and is a predicted model, not a curated record. Lineage: Eukaryota; Metazoa; Chordata; Chondrichthyes; Chimaeriformes; Callorhinchidae.
UAUUCUGCUAUCUUUUUGCUAAGAGAGUGAGACAGUUUUGUUUUGGGCACUGGAAGAUAUUCCUGGGCUCAGCAAAGCUUUGACAACUUUGACUUCUUACUUAUGUCCGCUAGCUUAUUAGGAAUACAUUUUGGGACUACUGUGCGAUACGGGAGAUUAUAUACGUCAGCCUUUCUGAUCGGAGAGAAGACGAAGAGAGAGAAUAGAGGUUGUAGCUACUAUUCUGAAAGGAAGGCGGCCUCAGUAGCAAAGCUCCGAAGAUGCUCGCUGGAGAGAGAGAGAGGGAGGGGGAAAAAAAAGGAAACGUUUCAUUUCCCCGUUCGUAAAAGGAAAGAAAAAAUAGUGUUUCGUGGCAUGAGAAUUGCACAAUUGUAGACAAUCUUGUUAUGCUGACAGGAAGUCCAAAUUUAUGUUUCGUGGCUCACAUUACGCUCCAGGUGGUUGGAAGAUUGUUUGAAAAUUAUAAUAAAUAAUAAGAAUCCUUGCAUUUGA